RNAcentral lists this ribosomal RNA (431 nucleotides) under uncultured bacterium. Its description in RNAcentral is "bacterial SSU rRNA". It matches the Rfam family "Bacterial small subunit ribosomal RNA", at positions 335 to 758 of the family's 1533-position model. The record is from RNAcentral.
ACUCCUACGGGAGGCAGCAGUGGGGAAUAUUGCACAAUGGGGGAAACCCUGAUGCAGCCAUGCCGCGUGUGUGAAGAAGGCCUUCGGGUUGUAAAGCACUUUCAGUAGGGAGGAAGGUAGUGUAGUUAACACCUGCCAUUAUUUGACGUUACCUACAGAAGAAGCACCGGCUAACUCCGUGCCAGCAGCCGCGGUAAUACGGAGGGUGCGAGCGUUAAUCGGAAUUACUGGGCGUAAAGCGCAUGCAGGCGGCCUGUUAAGUCAGAUGUGAAAGCCCGGGGCUUAACCUCGGAAUUGCAUUUGAAACUGGCAGGCUAGAGUCUUGUAGAGGGGGGUAGAAUUCAGGUGUAGCGGUGAAAUGCGUAGAGAUCUGAAGGAAUACCAGUGGCGAAGGCGGCCCCCUGGACAAAGACUGACGCUCAGAUGCGAAA